UGCAGUCGAGCGGAACGAUCCCAGCUUGCUGGGAGGCGUCGAGCGGCGGACGGGUGAGUAAUGCAUAGGAAUCUGCCCGAUAGUGGGGGAUAACCUGAGGAAACUCAGGCUAAUACCGCAUACGUCCUACGGGAGAAAGCAGGGGCUCUUCGGACCUUGCGCUAUCGGAUGAGCUUAUGUCGGAUUAGCUGGUUGGUGAGGUAACGGCUCACCAAGGCGACGAUCCGUAGCUGGUCUGAGAGGAUGAUCAGCCACAUCGGGACUGAGACACGGCCCGAACUCCUACGGGAGGCAGCAGUGGGGAAUAUUGGACAAUGGGGGCAACCCUGAUCCAGCCAUGCCGCGUGUGUGAAGAAGGCCCUCGGGUUGUAAAGCACUUUCAGUGAGGAAGAAUGCUUGUCGGUUAAUACCCGGCAAGGGAGACAUCACUCACAGAAGAAGCACCGGCUAACUCCGUGCCAGCAGCCGCGGUAAUACGGAGGGUGCGAGCGUUAAUCGGAAUUACUGGGCGUAAAGCGCGCGUAGGCGGCUUGAUAAGCCGGUUGUGAAAGCCCCGGGCUCAACCUGGGAACGGCAUCCGGAACUGUCAGGCUAGAGUGCAGGAGAGGAAGGUAGAAUUCCCGGUGUAGCGGUGAAAUGCGUAGAGAUCGGGAGGAAUACCAGUGGCGAAGGCGGCCUUUCUGGACUGACACUGACGCUGAGGUGCGAAAGCGUGGGUAGCAAACAGGAUUAGAUACCCUGGUAGUCCACGCCGUAAACGAUGUCGACUAGCCGUUGGGGUCCUCGAGACCUUUGUGGCGCAGUUAACGCACUAAGUCGACCGCCUGGGGAGUACGGCCGCAAGGUUAAAACUCAAAUGAAUUGACGGGGGCCCGCACAAGCGGUGGAGCAUGUGGUUUAAUUCGAUGCACGCGAGACCUUACCUACUCUU
RNAcentral lists this ribosomal RNA (931 nucleotides) under Halomonas caseinilytica. RNAcentral describes it as "bacterial SSU rRNA". It matches the Rfam family "Bacterial small subunit ribosomal RNA", at positions 56 to 982 of the family's 1533-position model. Lineage: Bacteria; Pseudomonadati; Pseudomonadota; Gammaproteobacteria; Oceanospirillales; Halomonadaceae. The record is from RNAcentral.